This is a long non-coding RNA of Trifolium pratense (red clover), 248 nucleotides long. RefSeq lists it as uncharacterized. The record is from RefSeq and is a predicted model, not a curated record. The transcript has 3 exons. Lineage: Eukaryota; Viridiplantae; Streptophyta; Magnoliopsida; Fabales; Fabaceae.
GUUACUGUGUAGGGAGUUCGGGCAGACGGGAACUCUAACUUAAGUGAUGAAAUUGGCAUGCUUCUUAGUGCGAAAAGUGCUGCUAUUGGUCUGAGGUCCAUAGGAGCUGUCAUAUACAUGCAACGAAAUAGUCUCAAAAUGUGCUUGCGCAACUCUGACAGUGCUACUGAUACUUCUGAAGUUGCUAAGGCAUAUGGCGGAGGAGGUUCUGCAAGUUCAAGCUCCUUCAUAAUAAGGAUGGAUGAGUA